This 77-nucleotide transfer RNA is filed under the name Roseateles oligotrophus. Its description in RNAcentral is "tRNA-Ile". It matches the Rfam family "tRNA". From Rfam's summary of the family: Transfer RNA (tRNA) molecules are approximately 80 nucleotides in length. Their secondary structure includes four short double-helical elements and three loops (D, anti-codon, and T loops). Further hydrogen bonds mediate the characteristic L-shaped molecular structure. tRNAs have two regions of fundamental functional importance: the anti-codon, which is responsible for specific mRNA codon recognition, and the 3' end, to which the tRNAs corresponding amino acid is attached (by aminoacyl-tRNA synthetases). tRNAs cope with the degeneracy of the genetic code in two manners: having more than one tRNA (with a specific anti-codon) for a particular amino acid; and 'wobble' base-pairing, i.e. permitting non-standard base-pairing at the 3rd anti-codon position. The record is from RNAcentral. RNAcentral also lists the same sequence under 6 other names. Lineage: Bacteria; Pseudomonadati; Pseudomonadota; Betaproteobacteria; Burkholderiales; Sphaerotilaceae.
GGGCCGUUAGCUCAGUUGGUUAGAGCAGAGGACUCAUAAUCCUUUGGUCAUAGGUUCAAGUCCUAUACGGCCUACCA